Nasonia vitripennis (jewel wasp) is the source of this 550-nucleotide long non-coding RNA. RefSeq lists it as uncharacterized. The transcript is spliced from 2 exons. Lineage: Eukaryota; Metazoa; Arthropoda; Insecta; Hymenoptera; Pteromalidae. The record is from RefSeq and is a predicted model, not a curated record.
CUGGCAGGAGAGCUUGCGUGCAGUAGGCUGUGGUGUCCGAUCGAAUGAGUGCUAUUUUCACUUGUGUUAUUGUUAAGGAUGAUGAAGAUGAGAUGUUGGGUAUCUAUUUACGUGAGAAACUAUCCACGUCAGCAGUCUGUGUCUAAAACACGUUAUAUUAAUCUGUCAAAGCUUUAACUGUAAAGCUAUUCCACUCAUCGUCAACUUCAGACCAUCAGCAUGAAGGCUCACGUGUAUUAUUGACGUUUUGUAGAUGAAAUUUGUUCGAAAUAAAAAAGUUUCCAUCCUUUACCAUUUCCUUAAACAUGAAAUCGAAAAUAACAGACAUAAAAGUAAGAUGUUAAAUGCAGAUUUCUAUUGUAUUUGAAAUAUUUAUCUUCAUAUUUUUACAAAUUUUUCUAACAAUUAGGUACUAUGUAUGAAAUGUAAUAUUUAUACAUUUCAGUUUCGUCACACAUAAACAUUAUGUGCAUUAUUUUAAGAAGAAACGUUUAGGUACUUAAAUGAAGAUCUGAUCGCCGAUAUGGUCAAUCGGCAUUUGCACAAUUCA